UAUUGGGCAAUGGGCGCAAGCCUGACCCAGCAACGCCGCGUGAAGGAAGAAGGCCCUCGGGUUGUAAACUUCUUUUAACAGGGACGAAGAAAGUGACGGUACCUGUUGAAUAAGCCACGGCUAACUACGUGCCAGCAGCCGCGGUAAUACGGAGGUGGCAAGCGUUAUCCGGAUUUACUGGGUGUAAAGGGCGUGUAGGCGGGAGAGCAAGUCAGACUUGAAAUUCCAGGGCUCAACCCUGGAACUGCGUUUGAAACUGUUCUUCUUGAGUGAUGGAGAGGCAGGCGGAAUUCCGUGUGUAGCGGUGAAAUGCGUAGAUAUACGGAGGAACACCAGUGGCGAAGGCGGCCUGCUGGACAUUAACUGACGCUGAGGCGCGAAAGCGUGGGGAGCAAACAG
RNAcentral lists this ribosomal RNA (399 nucleotides) under uncultured bacterium. RNAcentral describes it as "bacterial SSU rRNA". It matches the Rfam family "Bacterial small subunit ribosomal RNA", at positions 362 to 775 of the family's 1533-position model. The record is from RNAcentral.